Molecule: transfer RNA, 94 nt
Filed under: Streptomyces olivaceus
Lineage: Bacteria; Bacillati; Actinomycetota; Actinomycetes; Kitasatosporales; Streptomycetaceae
Description: tRNA-Ile
Source: RNAcentral
CCGGCCGGGGCCCUGGCGCGUGGGGGCGGCGGCACUGAUGCUGCUGCUGGCGUCGUUCGUGCUGUUCGCCGCGGUCAUCAUCGUGGCGGCGGGC